UACAGAGGGUGCGAGCGUUAAUCGGAAUUACUGGGCGUAAAGCGCGCGUAGGCGGCUUUGCAAGUCGGGUGUGAAAUCCCCAGGCUUAACCUGGGAACUGCAUUCGAGACUGCAUUGCUAGAGUAUGGGAGAGGGAAGUGGAAUUUCCGGUGUAGUGGUGAAAUGCGUAGAUAUCGGAAGGAACAUCAGUGGCGAAAGCGACUUCCUGGACCAGUACCGACGUUCAGGCACGAAGGCGUGGGGAGCAAACAGG
Molecule: ribosomal RNA, 253 nt
Filed under: uncultured bacterium
Lineage: Bacteria
Description: partial 16S ribosomal RNA
Rfam family: Bacterial small subunit ribosomal RNA
Source: RNAcentral